This 253-nucleotide ribosomal RNA is filed under the name uncultured bacterium. RNAcentral's name for it is "partial 16S ribosomal RNA". It matches the Rfam family "Bacterial small subunit ribosomal RNA", at positions 524 to 776 of the family's 1533-position model. The record is from RNAcentral.
UACGUAGGGUGCGAGCGUUAAUCGGAAUUACUGGGCGUAAAGCGUGCGCAGGCGGCUGUGCAAGACAGAUGUGAAAUCCCCGGGCUUAACCUGGGAAUUGCAUUUGUGACUGCACGGAUAGAGUGUGUCAGAGGGGGGUAGAAUUCCACGUGUAGCAGUGAAAUGCGUAGAUAUGUGGAGGAAUACCGAUGGCGAAGGCAGCCCCCUGGGAUAACACUGACGCUCAUGCACGAAAGCGUGGGGAGCAAACAGG